GCUUGUCUCAAAGAUUAAGCCAUGCAUGUCUAAGUAUAAGCAAUUAUACCGUGAAACUGCGGAAGGCUCAUUAAAUCAGUUAUCGUUUAUUUGAAAAUACCUUACUACUUGGAUAACCGUGGUAAUUCUAGAGCUAAUACAUGCUGAAAACCCCGACUUCGGAAGGGGUGUGUUUAUUAGAUAAAAAACCAACGCCCUUCGGGGCUCCUUGGUGAUUCAUGAUAAAUUUACGGAUCGCAUGGCCUUGCGCCGGCGACGGUUCAUUCAAAUUUCUGCCCUAUCAACUUUCGACGGUAGGGUAUUGGCCUACCAUGGUUUCAACGGGUAACGGGGAAUUAGGGUUCGAUUCCGGAGAGGGAGCCUGAGAAACGGCUACCACAUCCAAGGAAGGCAGCAGG
RNAcentral lists this ribosomal RNA (398 nucleotides) under Plenodomus lingam (blackleg of rapeseed fungus). Its description in RNAcentral is "Leptosphaeria maculans partial small subunit ribosomal RNA". It matches the Rfam family "Eukaryotic small subunit ribosomal RNA", at positions 30 to 432 of the family's 1831-position model. Lineage: Eukaryota; Fungi; Ascomycota; Dothideomycetes; Pleosporales; Leptosphaeriaceae. The record is from RNAcentral.